Molecule: non-coding RNA, 365 nt
Organism: Arachis ipaensis
Lineage: Eukaryota; Viridiplantae; Streptophyta; Magnoliopsida; Fabales; Fabaceae
Source: RefSeq, a predicted model, not a curated record
UGACUUCGCCACUCAUCGUCAGCUGCUCUCUCCUGCGUUGAUCGUCAGUUGCGCUCUCUUGCAUUGAUCGCGAGCUGCACCCUCACCAUCGUCGUCUCUGUGCACUGGUCAUCCUCUCUGCGCUCUGGUCGUCCUCUCUGCGCACACAUCGUCGAGAAGGGUUCAACUUGAAUACCCCUUUUUUUCCUAAUUCUCGCCAAAUCCCGUUACCCAGUUUCCGUACGCACCUGCUACCCUCUACGGUGUUGGAGUUCCUUCAAGAUGAGCUCGAGCUUCAGAGGGAAGAGAGGAAUUGCUUGUAGUGUUACUGAGCCACAUUCAGAUCCUGAGGGUGACAAUGAGGAGGUACUUUCAGUUUGCUUUGG